UUCACUGUAGAUGAAAGACAUCUAAGACACAUAUAUAGCUAGAAUCCAUUAUAACAAAUAGCAAUUUCCCCUGAGUCCAGUGUCCACGACAAGCAAAUAAAAUUUCAGGAGGAUAUUAACAAAUGGGAUAUCUUGAUCAAAAUCUGUAGAGAUAUGAAAAGCCAUGACUCCAGUUGCCAACUUCACAACGUUUACCAUUAGGCUGUGACUCAACUAUGGUCCCAAGGGGGAGAAACUUGAAACGACAAACUUCACAACGUUUACCAUUAGGCUGUGACUCAACUAUGGUCCCAAGGGGAAGAAACUUGAAACGACAGCAGCGACUACAGACACAGAUGGACCCCAGACAUUCAGAUUGAAACUUGACGACGACGCUGAACCUUCUUGACCCUCAUUACUGUUCUAGGAC
This 409-nucleotide long non-coding RNA is filed under the name Hordeum vulgare. RNAcentral describes it as "long non-coding RNA (HVUL_LNC011514)". The record is from RNAcentral. Lineage: Eukaryota; Viridiplantae; Streptophyta; Magnoliopsida; Poales; Poaceae.